GAUGAACGCUGGCGGCGUGCCUAAUACAUGCAAGUCGAGCGAACAGACGAUGAGCUUUUUCUCUUAACGUUAGCGGGUGACGGGCGAGUAACGAGUAGAUCACCAUCUACUUUUUCUGGGGUAAUAUCGGGAGAAAGGAGAUGCUACUACAUCAUAUAUUCAACGGGAUGGAUCAGUAGUGCAUCAGGGCUUUGGUGAUUGAUUGAGAUGGUUUCGGGUUGGCUUAGUGAGUUGGUAAGGUAACGGCUUACCAAGGCAACGAUGCGUAGCCGACCUGAGAGGAUGAUCGGCCACACUGGAACUGAGACACGGUCCAGACUCCUACGGGAGGCAGCAGUAGGGAAUCUUGCGCAAUGGGCGAAAGCUUGACGCAGCCAUGCCGCGUGAGUGAAGAAGGUCUUCGGGUCGUAAAACUCUUUUAUUAGGGAAGAACAGAAGUGUAAGAAACUAUGCACGUCUUGACGGUACCUAAUGAAAAAGCCCCGGCUAACUACGUG
Molecule: ribosomal RNA, 497 nt
Filed under: uncultured bacterium
Lineage: Bacteria
Description: partial 16S ribosomal RNA
Rfam family: Bacterial small subunit ribosomal RNA
Source: RNAcentral